CCGGUGGCUUAAAUAGUCUUAACCUUAAUUGAAUUAAUCGGUGUGAAUAAUUAAUUAAUUAUUGCUUUAAUUUAUCAAGGAUGAGAGCUCUAUUGAAGCUCAAUAUACUCGAUACUUUGGGUGAUAGCAAUUAUUAUUUGACAUGCAAUUAUAUUGCAAUAAGGAUCUGUGUCCUGCUAAUAACAGGAUGAUAAUAUCCUCUUGAGAAACUUAAUAA
This 217-nucleotide long non-coding RNA is filed under the name Salvia miltiorrhiza (redroot sage). Its description in RNAcentral is "long non-coding RNA (SMIL_LNC012737)". The record is from RNAcentral. Lineage: Eukaryota; Viridiplantae; Streptophyta; Magnoliopsida; Lamiales; Lamiaceae.